RNAcentral lists this ribosomal RNA (274 nucleotides) under uncultured bacterium. RNAcentral describes it as "partial 16S ribosomal RNA". It matches the Rfam family "Bacterial small subunit ribosomal RNA", at positions 523 to 796 of the family's 1533-position model. The record is from RNAcentral.
AUACGGAGGGUGCAAGCGUUAUCCGGAAUCAUUGGGUUUAAAGGGUCCGCAGGCGGAUUAAUAAGUCAGUGGUGGAAUCCUCUCGCUCAACGAGAGAACUGCCAUUGAAACUGUUAGUCUUGAAUUCGGUCGAAGUAGGCGGAAUGUGUCAUGUAGCGGUGAAAUGCAUAGAUAUGACACAGAACACCGAUAGCGAAGGCAGCUUACUAGACCUGGAUUGUCGCUCAUGGACGAAAGCGUGGGGAGCGAACAGGAUUAGAAACCCCAGUAGUCC